GUGAAUAGGCAUGGCUUAAAAUAGUUUAUUUAAUUUGACCUCGACAUUCUUGCUGGAUAGAUAGUUUUUUAGCUAGGCCGUUAUUGUAAAUAAGAAGUUGUUCUUAACUGACUUGCCUAGUUAAAUAAAGGUUUAAAAAAAAUAUAUUUAAAAAAUAAUACAUUUAAAAAUUGUUAACAUGCUACAGCUGCUAGCUAGCUAAUGCUAACGACGCUCCCAAGAGCAGCGGACCGGUAAGGCAAUUUUGCUUUCGAACUUUGUAAUCAUCUGUAACGGUGUUUUUACAUGCAUCAUACAAGCUAGUUAACAUUAGAUAUUUUGUUUAAAACCCUGUUGAUCUCGUUGGUUGUUUCUUUGGAACUAGCUAGCUAAGCUAUCACUAGCUAGCUAGGUGGUUAAUGUGGUGUAGGCUACAGUAUUACAGAAUGACAACAUUAUAGCCUUGUCACUAGUUAGUAGUUGGUUGAUAUGGGGUACAGUAGGCUACAGUACAACAAUAGCCUUCCUACUGUUCUGUUAUUUGUUGUCUGGAAAUUAAAUGAGCUAAUAUUAUAGACAGCUCACAAAUGCAGUUGUGGUAGUGUCACAUUGCCUUUGGCCGUACCAUAGCUGCUGCUAUGGAUAUGCAUUUUACUUGACAGCUCUGCCCUCUGCCAAGUCGCCAUUGAAAAAAUGCUGUUAUUUUCAACGUGUUAAAAUAAGCUAAUGGUUGUGCACUCUCACUAGAUCGAGUUGUUUGGUUCAGUGGCACAUUUUCAAAAUGAAGUGGACUUACAGUAUAUCAUCAGCAAUCUUCAAUCAGAUGGGACAACUAACCCUAAUUGAAUUGUAUUCAUCAAUGUGGUUACUAAUUAUUGUUAAUAUUCCAAUUGUCUAGGCCCUCAAUUCCCAAACCUGAAGCCCCAUGUCCUUCGCAGGUGUAACAGGGUUAUAUUGGUGAUUCCCCUUGCCACUUUAUUGUUAAGCCAAUGGGUUUUUGGUUUGAGUUUGUCUUGCCUUCACCUACUCAACAUGGCAUCUUAUUGGCUGGUUUGCGUAGCUUGCUUACGAGGGGGGAUGUUCCAGUUAGAAUCGUCCCAGUGAACAAGCACCAAACCAGCGGUAAGUUGUUGGUUGCAAAGCACCGUACGUCAAAAGUGAUUUUAUGCUCUCAAGUGAUGAUUUAAAUGUACAAUUUAUAUCAAAUAGUUCGUAAAUGUUAUUCAAACAUCACACAUAAGAUGCAGGGGUUUUUGGAGAAUAUUUGUUGUGCAUUUUGUUGUAGAGAAUUCACGCCAGUAUUAGCUAGCAACUUACUGUGUCUGGUGGGGGGGGUUCAUAUAUUUUGUACAGUGCGUGAGUGCAGAGUUGGAUGGUGAGACGGGCAUUGCAUGACGUGCAAUCUUGUGUCGUUCUUAUCAGGUACAUUGUUAAACAUAUUAUAUUGUAAUUGUAUUAUUUUGGUAACUGCCCAGUGAACAAGCACCAAACCAGCGUGCGUGAGUGCAGAGUUGGAUGGUGAGACGGGCAUUGCAUGACGUGCAAUCUUGUGUCGUUCUUAUCAGAAUAAAGCUACAUGACUGGUGCUACAUAUUGGAGUUCCGUGUCAAUGACUGAUGUACACAACGCAAGAAGAGUACUGUUACACAGCUCUGCCAACCAGGCUCGGUGGGUGACAACUAACCAUGUUUCCACCAGGCUGUUCCAGGCCUGGAGUGACACGCUGGAACUUCAAGAGGCUUGUAGACCUGAAGCAGUGUGAUGUUGUCCAGACACCCCUAUUAGCUCAACCACAGCCCCCACAGCUGCAGUCACCUGCCCCUGCACCUGCUACACUGGCCAUGACAGGUGAUACAGCUCCAGAUGACAAAACCUGCACACACUCGAGGGUUGCAGAGGGGCGAGGCAGAUGAUUAACAGCGUCCGCCUGCUUCCCAACCAAAACAGAAGAAUUUCGCAUUUUAUUUUUAUUGUCGGUUGUUUGGGCAAACUAUUUUGGUGCAGUAUUUCUCAAUGGAAAAAUGUGUAUGAAAACAAGUAAUCUCUCGUUAAACGACAGACUUUACUGAAGAAUCCCUCCUGUUGACCAAUCACAGACGAAGGGCCGUAGACUUCGAAUUGCCUAAACAAACAUUUUUGUGUGCCUGAACAACCGGGGGAAAAAAAGGUCCAAAACGUCACAAAAUGUUGUCAUAAUACAUUAUAUACAAGAGUAUGUGGACACCCCUUCAAAUGACUGGAUUCGGUUAUUUCAGCCACACCGUUGCUGACAGGUGUAUAAAAUCGAGUGCACAGCCAAGCAAUCUCCAUAGACAAAUAUUGGCAGUAGAAUGACCUUACUGAUGAGCUCAGUGACUUUCAACGUGGCACCAUCAUAGGAUACCACCUUUCCAACAAAUCAGUUUGUUAAAGUUCUGCCUUGCAGAACUGUAAAUGCUGUUAUUGUGAAGUGGAAACUUCUAGGAGCAACAACAGCUCAGCUGAGAAGUGGUAGGCCACACAAGCUCACAGAAUGGGACCGAGUGCUGAAGCGCGUAGCGUGUAAAAAUCAACACUCACUAUUGAGUUACAAACUGCCUCUGGAAGCAACGUCAACAAGAGAACUGUUCAUUGGGAGCUUCAUGAAAUGGGUUUUAAUGGCCGAGCAGCCGCACACAAGCCUAAGAUAACCAUACGCAAUGUGUAAAGCUCACCACCAUUGGACUCAGUGGAAACGCGUUCUCUGGAGUGAUGAAUAACCCUUCACCAUCUGGCAGUCCGAUGGACGAAUCUGGGUUUGGCAGAUGCCAGGAGAAUGCAACCUGCCCGAAUGCAUAAUGCCAACUCUAAUGUUUGGUGGAGGAGGAAUAAUGGUUUGGGCCUGUUUUCUUAGUUUGGGCUAGGCCGCUUAGUUCCAGUGAAGGGUACUGUGACAUUCUAGACGAUUCUGUGCUUCUAACUUUGUGGCAACAGUUUGGAGAAGGCCCUUUCCUGUUUCAGCAUGACAAUGUCCCCUGUGCACAAAGCGAGGUCUAUACAGAAAUGGUUUGUCAAGAUCGGUGUGGAAGAACUUGACUGGCCUGCACAGAGCCCUGACCUCAACCCCAUCUAACACCUUUGGGAUGAAUUAGAACGCUGACUGCGAUCCAGUCUUAAUCGCCCAACACCAGUGCCCGACCUGCUGCUCUAAUACCCUCGUGGCUGAAUGAAAGCAAGAAAGCAAUGCUCCAACAUCUAGUGGAAAGGAUUCCCACAAGAGUGGAGGCUGUUAUAGCAGCAAAUGGGGGACCAACUUCAUAUUAAUGCCCAUCAUUUUGGAAUGAGAUGCUCGACGAGCAGGUAUCGACAUACUUUUGAAAAAUCAAAGGAGAGCCGCACACUCUAGGAGCUCAGAUGCAAUAAUUGAAUAACCUAAUAUCCAACAUUUCGACAGACAAGCUGUCUUCAUCAGGGUAUAAUGACCAACACUGUGGGGUGACUGGUUUAUAUGGUGUCAACGGACACACACACAGGUGUCUGUAAUCAUGGCCGGGUGUGGCCUGAUAUCAUUGGUUAAUUUUCAGAUAUAAAAAUAACAUACUAAAAACAUGAAUGGAUAGCAUACGAUCAAAGAUACAAUUUGGCAACAUAGGCCUACAAACAUUUACACUGAAUAGCAAAACCACAAUAAUCAUGAAGUGUAUAUGCACAAACUCUUCUGAACUGUUUCGGCUGGGAAGCAUGCCUUUACUACCAUCCUCCAUCGACAGCGCCCUAGCAAAAUCGAAACCUACCAAGCAUUUUUGUCACAAUGGUUGACCUGCGUUGUUUCCAGUAGAAUUUCUACUGCUGGGGUUUGGAGGGGAGCAUUAAGUUCAUUGUGGAGAGAGGGAUUCCCGGUUGCUUGGCUUUGUACCUUUGGUAGACACUUUCUCCUGAGCAGACUGCCUCACCACUCCACCCACAUCACUUUGUGAAGUCUGAAUGACAGAUGUUAGAUACAGCAUAUGCUGUAUGGAAGCUUUUGGGGAGACAAUCAAUGUUUCUGAAUUCCAAUGGGUUGAAUGGGUUGAGAUGUUGUAUUGGGGUUGAAUACUGAAAGAACAGAUAUAAUUCCUGUCUAGAGGAAUGAUGGAGGAAGUGAACUAGCUGAAUAUCAAUGUUGCAUUGACUAGUGGAAUGUUGAUCUGACCUCUUUAAAGAAAGGACAACAUAUUUGUUUAUUUCACAUCCCCACUCUCUGGUACUACCAACGCAAUGUUCAGGGUCUGGUACAUCCCUGGACAGAUAAAAAAACAAAUUUCUUGUUAACAAACUAUAGUUUUGGCAAGUCAGUUAGGACAUCUACUUUGUGCAUGACAAGUCAUUUUUCCAACAAUUGUUUAUAGACAGAUUAUUUCACUGUAUCACAAUUCCAGUGGGUCAGAAGUUUACAUACACUAAGUUGACUGUGCCUUUAAACAGCUUGGAAAAUUCCUGAAAAUUAUGUCAUGGCUUUAGCAGUUUCUGAUAGGCUAAUUGACAUUAUUUGAGUCAAUCGGACGUGUACCUGUGCAUGUAUUUCAAGGUCUACCUUCAAACUUGGUGCCUCUUUGCUUGACAUCAUGGGAAAAAUCAGCCAAGACCUCAGAAAAAAUGGUUUGACCUCCACAAGUCUGGUUCAUCCUUGGGAGCCAUUUCCAAACGCCUGAAGGUGCCAUGUUCAUCUGUACAAGCAAUAGUAUGCAAGUAUAAACACCAUGGGAUCACGCAGCCAUCAUAUUGCUCAGGAAGGAGACGUGUUCUGUCUCUUGGAGAUUAAUGUACUUUGGUGCGAAAAUUGCAAAUCAAUCCCAGAACAAUGGCAAAGGACCUUGUGAAAAUACUUUAGGAAACAGGUACAAAAGUAUCUUUAUCCACAGUAAAAUGAGUCCUAUAUCGACAUAACCUGAAAGGCUGCUCAGCAAGGAAGAAGCCACUACUCCAAAACUGCCAUAAAAAAGCCAGACUACAGUUUGCAACUGCACAUGGGGACAAAAUAUCAUACUUUUUGGAGAAAUGUCCUCUGGUCUGAGGAAACUGUUUGGCCAUAAUGACCAUCGUUAUGUUUGGAGGAAAAAGGGGGAGGCUUGCAAGCCGAAGAACACCAUCCCAACCGUGAAGCACGGGGUAGCCGCAUCAUGUUGUGGGGGUGCUUUGCUGCAGGAGGGACUGGUGAACUAAACAAAAUAGAUGGCAUCAUGGGGAAGGAAAAUGAUGUGGAUAUAUUGAAGCAACAUCUCAAGACAUCAGUCAGGAAGUUAAAGCUUGGUCGCAAAUGGGUCUUCCAAAUGGACAAUGACCCCAACCAUACUUCCAAAGUUGUGGCAAAAUGGCUUAAGGACAACAAAGUCAAGGUAUUGGAGUAGCCAUGACAAAGUCCUGACCUCAAUCCUAUAUAAAAUUUGUGGUCAGAACUUAAAAAGUAUCUGUGAGCAAGGAGGCCUACAAACCUAACUCAGUUACACCAGCUCUGUCAGAAGGAAUGGGACAAAAUUCACCCAACUUACUGUGGGAAGCUUUUGGAAGGCUACCCUAAACAUUUGACCCAAGUUAAAGAAUUUAAAGGCAAUGUUACCAAAUACUAAUUGAGUGUAUGUAAACUUUUGACCCACUGGGAAUGUGAUGAAAUAAAUAAAAGCUGAAAUACAUCAUUCUCUCUACUAUUUUUCUGACAUUUCACAUUCUUAAAAUAAAGUGGUAAUCCUAACUGACAUCUGAUCAUGGACUUUUAUACCUGGCCCUCAGCUACUCUCAGCCCAUUCCACCUAGCAUGUAUCUCUGUCAACCGCCCUCUUAUGAUGUGCAAAUAGUCACCACAUUAACGUUAGUCUAUUCUCACUGCCGCGGAGGGCCUAGCAAGUGCGUCUACACUGAUAUUAUAAUGAGGGACAGUUCACAAAAAAAUCCAAAUUAGUGUUAGAACGUUAAAAAUAUUGCCACAAAGUAAUAUCUUCCAAAUAUUAUACUAUAGUUAUAUUACAUGUUUUCAGGAACAAGCUUGUUUUAUCAUUACAUACCAAUUUCAAUGGUUUUCCUGGUAUUGAUCAGUUUGUCCAGAUUUGCCAUCAGUUGUGCUUGUUCACUAGCAACCAGCAUGACGCUCCAUGGGUCCUCAAGGGUUUUCUGCAACAUAAAGGAAGGACGUUGAAGUUAUUUCACUGAGAAAAUGUUUGACAAAAUACCAAAAAGUCAUUUUUCUAUGGCAUAAUCUAACCAAAUGUUCAUACCCGACUGCUUACCGCUGAUUAUUAGCUUCUCUGCAGUGAUUGUAUGGUACUAUGCUGACAUCUACUGGUUAUAGUAGCCUAUGUAACUCUCACGAUACUAUAGUAAACCAUCCCUGCUUUUGAUCCCCACUGUAAAUAGACUGGGGAGAACCAGGCUCUUUAAUCCAAGCUUCAGGUCCACAUCCCGGUUCAACCCUAACCCUGGCUCUAACCCAGUCCAGUCUUACCAGUCUGAGUUUGGUCAGGACAGGAUGUUCUCUUAGUGAGUUGUUGGAAAUGUUUGGCCACAUUCUUAAAACAGUAUGUUCAUUACUCAUCAGUAACAACACCAAUUAGAGAGAGUGUUGUUCUUUGCUUGACUGUUGCUCUUACCUGGAUGGGCAGACCUUAUUCCAGUCUGUGCCCAGUGGAUAUGUUUGUGUGAAGUGUGCACUCCUGAGCCUUUCUCCCGAAGUUUCCUUCUCCCCACCGGAGAGUAAAUUAAAACGAAAAUAACUGCUUUUCAUUUGCAUAAUAUGGUUUUAAACAAAUCCCAAAAGGGAUUGUCUCGCCCAAAGAAUGUGAGGUCACAUCACAAGAAAAUCACAACCGUUUUUUAAACAGUUUCAAAAACAA
Molecule: long non-coding RNA, 6800 nt
Organism: Oncorhynchus keta (chum salmon)
Lineage: Eukaryota; Metazoa; Chordata; Actinopteri; Salmoniformes; Salmonidae
Exons: 4
Source: RefSeq, a predicted model, not a curated record